RNAcentral lists this ribosomal RNA (708 nucleotides) under uncultured Parvimonas sp. RNAcentral describes it as "bacterial SSU rRNA". It matches the Rfam family "Bacterial small subunit ribosomal RNA", at positions 28 to 743 of the family's 1533-position model. Lineage: Bacteria; Bacillati; Bacillota; Tissierellia; Tissierellales; Peptoniphilaceae. The record is from RNAcentral.
GACGAACGCUGGCGGCGUGCUUAACACAUGCAAGUCGAACGUGAUUUUUGUGGAAAUUCUUUCGGGAAUGGAAAUGAAAUGAAAGUGGCGAACGGGUGAGUAACACGUGAGCAACCUACCUUACACAGGGGGAUAGCCGUUGGAAACGACGAUUAAUACCGCAUGAGACCACAGAAUCGCAUGAUAUAGGGGUCAAAGAUUUAUCGGUGUAAGAAGGGCUCGCGUCUGAUUAGCUAGUUGGAAGGGUAAAGGCCUACCAAGGCGACGAUCAGUAGCCGGUCUGAGAGGAUGAACGGCCACAUUGGAACUGAGACACGGUCCAAACUCCUACGGGAGGCAGCAGUGGGGAAUAUUGCACAAUGGGGGGAACCCUGAUGCAGCGACGCCGCGUGAGCGAAGAAGGUUUUCGAAUCGUAAAGCUCUGUCCUAUGAGAAGAUAAUGACGGUAUCAUAGGAGGAAGCCCCGGCUAAAUACGUGCCAGCAGCCGCGGUAAUACGUAUGGGGCGAGCGUUGUCCGGAAUUAUUGGGCGUAAAGGGUACGUAGGCGGUUUUUUAAGUCAGGUGUGAAAGCGUGAGGCUUAACCUCAUUAAGCACUUGAAACUGGAAGACUUGAGUGAAGGAGAGGAAAGUCGGAAUUCCUAUUGUAACGGUGAAAUGGUAGAUAUAGGAGGAAUACCGGUGGCGAGGUUCUUUUUGAGUUUCCUGG